Molecule: non-coding RNA, 293 nt
Organism: Callorhinus ursinus (northern fur seal)
Lineage: Eukaryota; Metazoa; Chordata; Mammalia; Carnivora; Otariidae
Source: RefSeq, a predicted model, not a curated record
CCCCAGAAGGUUUGGGAGUAGGCCGCGCCCGAGCGCUGUGACAGAUCUGGCCUCUGCCAGAGCGGCUGGUGUUGGACCCUCUUCUGGAUGCCGGAGAACUACUUGAACAAGGACACAAUGAUAGCCUUCGUAGCAGAAAACUGGAAACAACCUGAAGGGUUGCAAAACUGUGAAGUCAUUGGGGACCUGGACCUUCCGACAAAAGUCUUGUUCAAGGUCAGCUUUGCACUGGAGUUCUGUGUAUCCCUUUCCAGACUGUGAGCCAAGCACAAGCUGUGUCACAUAAAAUUAAU